CCCCGUCCUGACGAAAAAGGGUCAUUGCGUUCUUCUGACACAAUUGGCCGAGACGCGACCAAUCAGAGAGGAGCAGUGUUUUUACAGCGGCUGGCAAUUCAUUUGAUUCAGGAUAUCGUCAGUCGUCAGUUGUGUAGUCCAGAUCUAGAUUCUAGCUUCACUGGUCGCCAUUGUUCAAGUUCAACGUGUUUGCUGGACAAGUCGUUGGGUCUCUUUUCAAGAUGAUUUUUGCUUCCAAAACAUUGCUGCUUGUUCUGGCUCUCGGGCUGGUUUUCGUCGCCUUGUCGGAGGAAGCCAGGAUAGGAGACAAGAGUAGAGUCUUUGGAAACUGCUGGAGCACAUGGGGCAGAUGUUCAAAAUGGGGCUCUCCUGCCACUGGCAUUCUUGGGAAAACUUGCAAUGACCGCUGCAAAGAGCUGGGUAAAAGCAGAGGAAGCUGUGUGCGCUCUCGCUCAAUUUGCCCAAUUAUCCACAAGGCUUACCAAUGCCACUGCUACUAGGAAAGAUUUACAGGAGCCUGUACGUCCAAGAAUAUCUACAUCGUCAGGACCACCACGCCGAGGCAAUUGGUGCAAACAUAUUGAUAUGAUCUGAUCUACACUUUCCAGGAACCCGAAUUCAAAAUUUUGAAGUCUAAUUUUAUUAAACAAGAGGAUAACGCGAUUUCGAAAAUAAAGAAAAAAUAAUUGUGAAGUUUCACGUAC
Molecule: long non-coding RNA, 704 nt
Organism: Aplysia californica (California sea hare)
Lineage: Eukaryota; Metazoa; Mollusca; Gastropoda; Aplysiida; Aplysiidae
Exons: 5
Source: RefSeq, a predicted model, not a curated record